AGAAGGUUAAUGUGUAACAGUCAGUCACAAAAAUGGUCAAAAUGCUUCCUCCUUUACGCUUUCUCAGCUGUGCUGGAACUGCCGCAAGGUAGGCUUCUUGCCACGCUUGGUCUGAAGUCUCCUGGGCUUGUGAACUGUUCUUCUGACUGGAAGCUUCCUGAAGCCUUCACCAGAAGCAGAUGCUGGCCCCAUGCUUCUUGUACAGCCUGCAGAACUGUGAGCCAAAUAAGCCUCUUUUCUUUAUAAAUUACCUGGUCUCAGGUAUCCCUUUAAAGCAAUGCAAAUGGGCUAUGACAAUAGGAUUUGAGACACCACAGGUGCUCAAUGUUUACUAAUGAAUAAUUGUAAUGCUGGAGAAGAUAACUUAGUAUUUGGUCACAAUUUAAAUUCUUUAUAGCAAAAAGUGUGAAGAAAGAAAAAUAGGAAAUACCACUCUAUGAAAAUAAAAAAUUAGUAGAGGAGGCCAUUUACUUGAUGCUGAGUAUGCAUCCAGCCCUGUGCACACACGACCUCAGUUCAUCUUCACAACAGCCCCACAAGGUGGGCUGCUUCAUCACGACGUCACAGAGGAGAGCCU
Molecule: long non-coding RNA, 577 nt
Filed under: Homo sapiens (human)
Lineage: Eukaryota; Metazoa; Chordata; Mammalia; Primates; Hominidae
Description: HSALNT0218123
Source: RNAcentral